Molecule: ribosomal RNA, 489 nt
Filed under: uncultured bacterium
Lineage: Bacteria
Description: partial 16S ribosomal RNA
Rfam family: Bacterial small subunit ribosomal RNA
Source: RNAcentral
AUUGAACGCUGGCGGCAGGCCUAACACAUGCAAGUCGAACGGUAACAGGAAACAGCUUGCUGUUUCGCUGACGAGUGGCGGACGGGUGAGUAAUGUCUGGGAAACUGCCUGAUGGAGGGGGAUAACUACUGGAAACGGUAGCUAAUACCGCAUAACGUCGCAAGACCAAAGAGGGGGACCUUCGGGCCUCUUGCCAUCGGAUGUGCCCAGAUGGGAUUAGCUAGUAGGUGGGGUAACGGCUCACCUAGGCGACGAUCCCUAGCUGGUCUGAGAGGAUGACCAGCCACACUGGAACUGAGACACGGUCCAGACUCCUACGGGAGGCAGCAGUGGGGAAUAUUGCACAAUGGGCGCAAGCCUGAUGCAGCCAUGCCGCGUGUAUGAAGACGGCCUUCGGGUUGUAAAGUACUUUCAGCGGGGAGGAAGGGAGUAAAGUUAAUACCUUUGCUCACUGACGUUACCCGCAGAAGAAGCACCGGCUAACUCCGU